GACGAACGCUGGCGGCGUGCUUAACACAUGCAAGUCGAACGAAGUGGCGAACGGGUGAGUAACGCGUAAUCAACCUGCCCUUCAGAGGGGGACAACAGUUGGAAACGACUGCUAAUACCGCAUAUUAUUCGAGCGGCCGAUGUCUGAUUAGCUGGUUGGCGGGGUAAAGGCCCACCAAGGCGACGAUCAGUAGCGGGUCUGGGAGGAUGAUCCGCCACACUGGGACUGAGACACGGCCCAGACUCCUACGGGAGGCAGCAGUGGGGAAUCUUCCGCAAUGGACGAAAGUCUGACGGAGCAACGCCGCGUGAGUGAUGACGGCCUUCGGGUUGUAAAGCUCUGUUAAUCGGGACGCGGUACCGGAAUAGAAAGCCACGGCUAACUACGUGCCAGCAGCCGCGGUAAUUC
Molecule: ribosomal RNA, 408 nt
Filed under: uncultured bacterium
Lineage: Bacteria
Description: partial 16S ribosomal RNA
Rfam family: Bacterial small subunit ribosomal RNA
Source: RNAcentral